GAUGAACGCUGGCGGCGUGCCUAAUACAUGCAAGUCGAGCGAACGGACGAGAAGCUUGCUCUUCUGAUGUUAGCGGCGGACGGGCGAGUAACACGUGCAUAACCUACCUAUAAGACUGGGAUAAUUUCGGGAAACCGGAGCUACUACUGGAUCAUAUUUUGUACCGCAUGGUUCAAAAGUGAAUGACGGUCUUGCUGUCACUUAUAGAUGGAUCCGCGCUGCAUUAGCUAGUUGGUAAGGUAACGGCUUACCAAGGCAACGGUGCAUAGCCGACCUGAGAGGGUGAUCGGCCACACUGGAACUGAGACACGGUCCAGACUCCUACGGGAGGCAGCAGUAGGGAAUCUUCCGCAAUGGGCGAAAGCCUGACGGAGCAACGCCGCGUGAGUGAUGAAGGUCUUCGGAUCGUAAAACUCUGUUAUUGGGGAAGAACAUAUGUGUAAGUAACUGUGCACAUCUUGACGGUACCUAAUCAGAAAGCCACGGCUAACUACGUG
Molecule: ribosomal RNA, 497 nt
Filed under: uncultured bacterium
Lineage: Bacteria
Description: partial 16S ribosomal RNA
Rfam family: Bacterial small subunit ribosomal RNA
Source: RNAcentral